Molecule: ribosomal RNA, 503 nt
Filed under: uncultured bacterium
Lineage: Bacteria
Description: partial 16S ribosomal RNA
Rfam family: Bacterial small subunit ribosomal RNA
Source: RNAcentral
AUUGAACGCUGGCGGCAGGCUUAACACAUGCAAGUCGAGCGGAGUGAUGGUGCUUGCACUAUCACUUAGCGGCGGACGGGUGAGUAAUGCUGAGGAAUCUGCCUAUUAGUGGGGGACAACAUCUCGAAAGGGAUGCUAAUACCGCAUACGUCCUACGGGAGAAAGCAGGGGAUCACUUGUGACCUUGCGCUAAUAGAUGAGCCUAAGUCGGAUUAGCUAGUUGGUGGGGUAAAGGCCUACCAAGGCGACGAUCUGUAGCGGGUCUGAGAGGAUGACACGCCGCACUGGGACUGAGACACGGCCCAGACUCCUACGGGAGGCAGCAGUGGGGAAUAUUGGACAAUGGGGGGAACCCUGAUCCAGCCAUGCCGCGUGUGUGAAGAAGGCCUUAUGGUUGUAAAGCACUUUAAGCGAGGAGGAGGCUCUUUUGGUUAAUACCCAAGAUGAGUGGACGUUACUCGCAGAAUAAGCACCGGCUAACUCUGUGCCAGCCGCCGCCGUAA